UAAAAAAAGGUAAGCUACUAAGAGCGAAUGGUGGAUGCCUUGACUGGUAAAGGCGAUGAAGGACGUACUAGACUGCGAUAAGCUACGGGGAGCUGUCAAGAAGCUUUGAUCCGUAGAUUUCCGAAUGGGGCAACCCAAUGUAUAGAGAUAUACAUUACCUAUAUAGGAGCGAACGAGGGGAAUUGAAACAUCUUAGUACCCUCAGGAAAAGAAAUCAAUAGAGAUUGCGUCAGUAGCGGCGAGCGAAAGCGCAAGAGGGCAAACCCAGUGCUUGCACUGGGGGUUGUAGGACUGCAAUGUGCAAGAGCUGAGUUUAGCAGAACAUUCUGGAAAGUAUAGCCAUAGAGGGUGAUAGUCCCGUAUGCGAAAAACAAAGCUUAGCUAGCAGUAUCCUGAGUAGGGCGGGACACGAGGAAUCCUGUCUGAAUCCGGGUCGACCACGAUCCAACCCUAAAUACUAAUACCAGAUCGAUAGUGCACAAGUACCGUGAGGGAAAGGUGAAAAGAACUGAGGUGAUCAGAGUGAAAUAGAACCUGAAACCAUUUGCUUACAAUCAUUCAGAGCACUAUGUAGCAAUACAGUGUGAUGGACUGCCUUUUGCAUAAUGAGCCUGCGAGUUGUGGUGUCUGGCAAGGUUAAGCAAACGCGAAGCCGUAGCGAAAGCGAGUCUGAAUAGGGCGCUUAGUCAGAUGCUGCAGACCCGAAACGAAGUGAUCUAUCCAUGAGCAAGUUGAAGCUAGUGUAAGAACUAGUGGAGGACUGAACCCAUAGGCGUUGAAAAGCCCCGGGAUGACUUGUGGAUAGGGGUGAAAGGCCAAUCAAACUUCGUGAUAGCUGGUUCUCUCCGAAAUAUAUUUAGGUAUAGCGUUGUGUCGUAAUAUAAGGGGGUAGAGCACUGAAUGGGCUAGGGCAUACACCAAUGUACCAAACCCUAUCAAACUCCGAAUACCUUAUAUGUAAUCACAGCAGUCAGGCGGCGAGUGAUAAAAUCCGUCGUCAAGAGGGAAACAACCCAGACUACCAGCUAAGGUCCCUAAAUCUUACUUAAGUGGAAAACGAUGUGAAGUUACUUAAACAACCAGGAGGUUGGCUUAGAAGCAGCCAUCCUUUAAAGAAAGCGUAAUAGCUCACUGGUCUAGUGAUUUUGCGCGGAAAAUAUAACGGGGCUAAAGUAAGUACCGAAGCUGUAGACUUGCACACAACUUAGAUUAUUUAAGUUUAGAAUAUGAGAAACUAAGUUAUAUGUUUAGUUAUAUUUUUACUGAUUUUUAUAGAGUAAAGAUAGAAAUAAAACUUAGUAAAAUCAGUAAAAAUAUUCUUAGGCUAAAGUUAAGUAGUUUAAGUUGUGUGCAAGUGGUAGGAGAGCGUUCUAUUUGCGUCGAAGGUAUACCGGUAAGGAGUGCUGGAGCGAAUAGAAGUGAGCAUGCAGGCAUGAGUAGCGAUAAUUAAUGUGAGAAUCAUUAACGCCGUAAACCCAAGGUUUCCUACGCGAUGCUCGUCAUCGUAGGGUUAGUCGGGUCCUAAGCUGAGUCCGAAAGGGGUAAGCGAUGGCAAAUAGGUUAAUAUUCCUAUACCAACAUUAGUGUGCGAUGGAAGGACGCUUAGGGCUAAGGGGGCUAGCGGAUGGAAGUGCUAGUCUAAGGUCGUAGGAGGUUAUACAGGCAAAUCCGUAUAACAAUACUCCGAGAACUGAAAGGCUUUUUGAAGUCUUCGGAUGAAAAGAAGAACCCCUGAUGCCGUCGAGCCAAGAAAAGUUUCUAAGUUUAGCUAAUGUUGCCCGUACCGUAAACCGACACAGGUGGGUGGGAUGAGUAUUCUAAGGCGCGUGGAAGAACUCUCUUUAAGGAACUCUGCAAAAUAGCACCGUAUCUUCGGUAUAAGGUGUGCCUCCCUUUGUAUUAGAAUUCACUUCGAAAGCAAAGAAGGUUACAACAAAGAGUCCCUCCCGACUGUUUACCAAAAACACAGCACUCUGCUAACUCGUAAGAGGAUGUAUAGGGUGUGACGCCUGCCCGGUGCUCGAAGGUUAAUUGAUGGGGUUAGCAUUAGCGAAGCUCUUGAUCGAAGCCCGAGUAAACGGCGGCCGUAACUAUAACGGUCCUAAGGUAGCGAAAUUCCUUGUCGGUUAAAUACCGACCUGCAUGAAUGGCGUAACGAGAUGGGAGCUGUCUCAAAGAGGGAUCCAGUGAAAUUGUAGUGGAGGUGAAAAUUCCUCCUACCCGCGGCAAGACGGAAAGACCCCGUGGACCUUUACUACAGCUUGACACUGCUAUUUGGAUAAGAAUGUGCAGGAUAGGUGGGAGGCUUUGAGUAUAUGACGCCAGUUGUAUAUGAGCCAUUGUUGAGAUACCACUCUUUCUUAUUUGGGUAGCUAACCAGCUUGAGUUAUCCUCAAGUGGGACAAUGUCUGGUGGGUAGUUUGACUGGGGCGGUCGCCUCCCAAAUAAUAACGGAGGCUUACAAAGGUUGGCUCAUAGCGGUUGGAAAUCGCUAGUAGAGUAUAAAGGUAUAAGCCAGCUUAACUGCAAGACAUACAAGUCAAGCAGAGACGAAAGUCGGUCUUAGUGAUCCGGUGGUUCUGUGUGGAAGGGCCAUCGCUCAAAGGAUAAAAGGUACCCCGGGGAUAACAGGCUGAUCUCCCCCAAGAGCUCACAUCGACGGGGAGGUUUGGCACCUCGAUGUCGGCUCAUCGCAUCCUGGGGCUGGAGCAGGUCCCAAGGGUAUGGCUGUUCGCCAUUUAAAGCGGUACGCGAGCUGGGUUCAGAACGUCGUGAGACAGUUCGGUCCCUAUCUGCCGUGGGCGUAAGAAGAUUGAAGAGCUUUGACCCUAGUACGAGAGGACCGGGUUGAACAAACCACUGGUGUAGCUGUUGUUCUGCCAAGAGCAUCGCAGCGUAGCUAAGUUUGGAAAGGAUAAACGCUGAAAGCAUCUAAGCGUGAAGCCAACUCUAAGAUGAAUCUUCUCUAAGCUCUCUAGAAGACUACUAGUUUGAUAGGCUGGGUGUGUAAUGGAUGAAAGUCCUUUAGCUGACCAGUACUAAUAGAGCGUUUGGCUUAUCUUUAAUAAAGCAU
Molecule: ribosomal RNA, 3073 nt
Filed under: Campylobacter jejuni
Lineage: Bacteria; Pseudomonadati; Campylobacterota; Epsilonproteobacteria; Campylobacterales; Campylobacteraceae
Description: 23S ribosomal RNA
Rfam family: Bacterial large subunit ribosomal RNA
Source: RNAcentral